CGCGUAGGCGGACAGUUAAGUUGGGGGUGAAAGCCCGGGGCUCAACCUCGGAAUUGCCUUCAAUACUGGCUGUCUUGAGUAUGAGAGAGGUGUGUGGAACUCCGAGUGUAGAGGUGAAAUUCGUAGAUAUUCGGAAGAACACCAGUGGCGAAGGCGACACACUGGCUCAUUACUGACGCUGAGGCGCGAAAGCGUGGGGAGCAAACA
This 207-nucleotide ribosomal RNA is filed under the name uncultured bacterium. Its description in RNAcentral is "partial 16S ribosomal RNA". It matches the Rfam family "Bacterial small subunit ribosomal RNA", at positions 568 to 774 of the family's 1533-position model. The record is from RNAcentral.